ACUUUUACAAGCUACAGCACUACAGCAGCUCCUUGGAUCAGACAGUGGAGCCCCACGUUGUGCCUGGGGAGGGAAUGAACGAUUCUUUCUUCCAGAAGAGAGCAGAGACUCCUGGCUGGUCUCCAUCAGGGAGCCAUAUCGGGUGGAGAGUUUUGUGUGUCUGGGAGCAAGGGCAAACCAAAUCUUUCUGCUUUUCCUGAACAUGGAGCACUUAGGAACGUGGCUCAGGAAAUGGGACACUUUCACAUGGAGGAUAUUCCCAUUGGAAAAAUGAUGGUGUGGUCAAAAACUGUUCUAAUCUACAGAGAAAAGUGCCAGAUUUCCUGAAUCUUUUCCCUUGUUUGAUGAGAAGAUUUGACAGAUAUUUAUCUUGGAAUGAGCACUUUUAUCUUCAAAUGCAGUUUCUAACACGAAAAGAUAUUUUUGGCUGAAACCAAAGUCUUGUGAAAGCCGUCACAACUUGCAAAAUUCCCUCAAAGAGUGUAGAAAAGGAAUUCAGGAGCCAAGCGCACCCAGCAAGAGCAGAUGGCUGCGGCGUUAUCUGUCACCGUGGAUCUCAGAGCAGAUGGAUGCUGCAUAAACAUCUCACAACCAUGGCUAUUAUUGAUGCAACUACUAUUAAUACUAUUGGUGAGUGUUCUGUGAACCCAAACACUGCGCUGGGGUAAGGAACACAAAGCAGAGUUAGCUGAUUGCAGGGCUGCCAAUUCAGGGUGGCUAUCAGUAACACUAUCUGCCAUUACAGCUAAUGAUGCAAUGGCAACACAUCUUCAUUUCCAAGGGAAAGGGUUGGGGGGAUGAGUCAGAGCCCAGGGAAAGCUGAGGGAGCUGGAGAGGAUGCCCAGCUUCAGAGAAAAUUGUCUCAGGAGACUAAAAAACAGUGACAUUAUUGAACUAUGGGUCUUGGGAGAAGCACUUUGGGCCUGUAGCUGUUUUGGGGCAUGUCAGCUCUGUGUCUGACUCAGGCUUUGCAGCUUUCUGGGCUCUGAAUUCAGGUGGCUGGAGCAUUGGGCCAGGGCAUUUUGAACUGUAUGGUUUGUGCCUUAGAGCCAAAGGAGAGGCUUUAAUUGUGGGAUCUCAGUCCUGCUACUUCCCUGCUCUCUCAUUGCAACUCUGCUCCUGACCUGCUCUGGGUCCUUCCAGAAACCUGUGCCUCCAUCUGUCUUGUCUAUUUUGACUGCAGGGGUUUUUGGGCAGGGACUUGGCUACAUGUCUGUGCAGCUCAGAGCACAAGAAGGGUCUGGGGCUGGUGGUCAGGACCUCUGGAUCCUGGGACAAUGCUGGUCAGGAGUCAUUGGAGAUGCUGGGCAGGAGUGGCUGGAGGUGCUGGUCAGGAGUCACUGGGGAUGCUGGUUGGAGCUCAGGGCGCUCCAGGGGCAGGAUUUGUGUGUCCUGACCUGAGACCUGCUCAUGUUCAAGCCUUUCCACAGCCUGCUGUUUCCCUUUGAGCUGGUGCAGCAUGAGAUGACUUGUUUCAUUUUUUUCCGCUGUAAGGAUUAUGGAGAGAGCUGGAGGUGUAUAAACAUGUUUGACUUUCCUGUGUCUGUGUCAGGGUGAGUGAAACUCACCCAGAAUGUGGCUCUGAGAGAAGGGCCUAUUUCCCCCUCUGGGUGUAAAAGGAAUACUCUCAGUUUGGAAGCCCCUAAAUCUUCCCAGUAUUCAGUUCCCUUCCCUGGAAGGUUGUGCGGCCCUGGGAGAGCUGGAGGAGCUGUCAUCCCUGAGGUAUUCAGAGGCUGCCUGAACAAGGUCCUGGAAUAACAGUGAAGUCUUCUCAGGAGGGCUAGACACCUCCAGAGGUCCUUUAAACCCCAAAUUCUCUGCCAUUUGUAAAAACCCCUUUAUGUAUGUACCUGAAUCUUAGAUCAUUUACAUACCUAAGAAACUCGGGCCUAGAUCUUUCUGGUCCAAAAAAACCUCUUUAAAAAACCUGGGCUGGCCUAUGAAUGGCUUUAGAAAACAUUUCCCAUCUGUCUCUGUCGAAUACAAUGAGGGAGUCAGUGGUUCCUGCCCGAUACAACAACAUGGAAAGAUUCAUGGUGUGUGUUUUACCCCCCAAAGAAUUUCUUGGCUUCCCAGUGCUUUGUUAAUGUGCAUUGAUUAUGUUUACUGUGCCGUUAGAAAGUCAUUUAGGGAUUUAUUGGGCUGGCUUUAAAUACUGAAAGUGAGUCAUUACCCUGACCCACUUGUGCCUGAGCCUAAAGCGAGUAAAGGAGAGUGAGACUUUGCUCCAGUGGUGAAAACCCUCCCAGGAAACUCGGUUUUGAGGACAACAAAUGAAAAAGGGCCUGUAAAGGCACAUCACUGCAAGUGGAAUGCCUUAAAUCCCUCUCCCAUCCCCCUCGAUCAGAGAUAAUAACAGGAUAGCAACAGGAAUUCCGACUGGAUGGUGUGAGAGCUGGAGAACAAACCCAGCCAUGCAGGCAAAGCCUGGCUCUCCCUGCCAGUGACAGGAGCGAGGGAUUUCUCACUGAGGGAUUCCCACUGCAGAUCAAUGGGGCUUGGCUCACUGCCUCCUGUCAGAAAUCUGAACGUCUCUCCUCAGAUCCAGACGAUUAUGGGUGAGACAUGUUGGCAGUUUCCCUUCAAACAGAAGGGAGAUGAUGGAGUUUUUCUUAGAAUUUGGGAUUUGGCUCAACUGGAAUCACAGGAUGGGCCAGUAGCCAAGGAAAAUGUGAACCCAUUCUGGAAGGACCAUUCAUGUUUUUGUGGGUUUUAAAAAUUGUGUUGCUUCAAGGCCAUGCUGAUAACAGGAACAGUAAUGAUGGUAAGACCCUGAGAUGUGCAUGGCCAGUUUGGUUCCUCCCAGCUCACAGUCCAAGCUGGGAUGUUUGGCUCCUUCUCUGACAGCUCCCAGUGGUC
Molecule: long non-coding RNA, 2859 nt
Organism: Serinus canaria (Common canary)
Lineage: Eukaryota; Metazoa; Chordata; Aves; Passeriformes; Fringillidae
Exons: 3
Source: RefSeq, a predicted model, not a curated record